This 383-nucleotide ribosomal RNA is filed under the name uncultured bacterium. RNAcentral describes it as "partial 16S ribosomal RNA". It matches the Rfam family "Bacterial small subunit ribosomal RNA", at positions 338 to 738 of the family's 1533-position model. The record is from RNAcentral.
CCUACGGGUGGCUGCAGUGGGGAAUAUUGCUCAAUGGGCGCAACCCUGAUGCAGCCACGUCGCGUGAGGGAAGACGUAUUUCUGUAUUUUAAGCUCUAUCAGCAGGGAAGAGAAUGACGGUACCUGACUAAGAAGCCCCGGCAAACUAAGUGCCAGCAGCCGCGGUAAUACGGAGGGGGCAAGCGUUAUCCGGAUUUACUGGGUGUAAAGGGAGCGUAGACGGAUGUACAAGUCUGCAGUGAAAGCGCGGGGCUCAACCGCGGAACUGCUUUGAAAACUGUAAAGCUGGAGGACUGGAGAGGCAGGCGGAAGUCCUGGUGUAGCGGUGAAAUGAGUAGAUAUUAGGAGGAACACGAGUGGCAAGGGCGGACUGCUGGACAGAA